UGGGGUGUAGCUAAGUGGUAGAGCAUGUGAUUAGCAUGCACAAGUCCCUAGGUUCAAUCCCCAACACCAAAA
RNAcentral lists this transfer RNA (72 nucleotides) under Ictidomys tridecemlineatus (thirteen-lined ground squirrel). RNAcentral describes it as "Spermophilus tridecemlineatus (thirteen-lined ground squirrel) tRNA". It matches the Rfam family "tRNA". From Rfam's summary of the family: Transfer RNA (tRNA) molecules are approximately 80 nucleotides in length. Their secondary structure includes four short double-helical elements and three loops (D, anti-codon, and T loops). Lineage: Eukaryota; Metazoa; Chordata; Mammalia; Rodentia; Sciuridae. The record is from Rfam by way of RNAcentral.